Podarcis lilfordi (Lilford's wall lizard) is the source of this 76-nucleotide non-coding RNA. Lineage: Eukaryota; Metazoa; Chordata; Lepidosauria; Squamata; Lacertidae. The record is from the annotation of a GenBank genome assembly.
UGAGAGAUAGCUCAGUUGGUAGAACACAAGAAUCUUAAUCUCAGGAUCAUGGGUUUGAGCCCCACAUGGGGCAAAA